RNAcentral lists this ribosomal RNA (468 nucleotides) under uncultured bacterium. Its description in RNAcentral is "partial 16S ribosomal RNA". It matches the Rfam family "Bacterial small subunit ribosomal RNA", at positions 28 to 507 of the family's 1533-position model. The record is from RNAcentral.
GACGAACGCUGGCGGCGUGCUUAACACAUGCAAGUCGAACGGAAAGGCCCUGCUUUUGUGGGGUGCUCGAGUGGCGAACGGGUGAGUAACACGUGAGUAACCUGCCCUUGACUUUGGGAUAACUUCAGGAAACUGGGGCUAAUACCGGAUAGGAGCUCCUGCUGCAUGGUGGGGGUUGGAAAGUUUCGGCGGUUGGGGAUGGACUCGCGGCUUAUCAGCUUGUUGGUGGGGUAGUGGCUUACCAAGGCUUUGACGGGUAGCCGGCCUGAGAGGGUGACCGGCCACAUUGGGACUGAGAUACGGCCCAGACUCCUACGGGAGGCAGCAGUGGGGAAUAUUGCACAAUGGGCGGAAGCCUGAUGCAGCAACGCCGCGUGCGGGAUGACGGCCUUUGGGUUGUAAACCGCCUUCGCCUGUGACGAAGCGUGAGUGACGGUAAUGGGUAAAGAAGCACCGGCUAACUACGUG